CUAAUUCCCUUGGGAGAACAUGAAAGUCAACCCUGAAACAUCAACAGGACGUCUAAGGAAAAGGAAUGAUGGUUUCAAAGAAGAUUUACAUUUCCCUAUAGACUUGAUCAAAGUACUGGGGAGAGCAACUCUGAAGAGAAAAGAUGACUAUGACUUCAUAUGCAUAAAAUAUAUUUUCUAUGAAAUGUUUCAUAGUUUACUGUAACAUCAAAAUUAUUCAUCCAUGCAAAAAGGAUACAAUAGUGAUACCGUAUGUAAGAUGUUCUGUAUAGCUCUAACAAGGGAAAACUGUUUGAGAGAUAAGGAUACUAUUAGAAAGAAUGCAGAAAUUACAGUAUAUCUGUGUUAUAGAUAUGGAGGGGAAAUUGUAUAGAAAGAAAGAUUCUAAUAACUGGACUCAGCUGGACUUCUUUAUUCUGGACAUUUUGGUGUAUAUGCCUUAAUAGACAUAUUUCUUGGCUAAAUUGUACCUAUAACCAGACAAAAUGAAUUCAUCCUGCAGUUUGGCCUUUGCAUUUGAAUUUAGCAGAAGGCCAUAUAAAAUUCAUACCAACAAAUCAACGCAAGAUCAAAAUCUCAUUUCUCACUUCUCUCAGUGCUAUUGUUAGAAUCUUAACAAGCAACUGUUUGAUAUUAUUGUUUUGUUUUUACAGAUAUCUAUACUAUUUUACUAUUUUAUAAUAUGUAGUAAAAGAAAUUCCCUACUAGAAUUCCAGGUCUUGGGUGUGUCUGGCACUUACUUUAUCUUCUCUGAAGGUCUUCUCAAGGGCUGUGUCUGAUUGAUAGGUUGCCGCCCUUAAUGAACUGAACAUGAGGCACAUCUUCCUCCCUGUGCACAUUCUCUUCUUUCAACAUAUGCUUGCUCUGGGGUAGUUAUUUGGCAAGAGUAAAACAGCUGAAAUGAAAGAAUAACUUGUAAAAAUUUUGAAGCCUCAGCUUAACACUUUUUGUUAGCAAUAACAGUUGAACAUGAUAAAAACUGUUUGAACUAAGUGGAACAUCAAGUAUUUUAGCAAAAAAAAUAAUCACAUGGAUGUUGAUCCAUAUUAGCUUUUAUACAUUGACCAGGUUAAUCCAGAGCAAACUAAUGAAACUAGUGUGACAGGAAUAUUUGGGAAAAUGUUCUUAAUUAAACAAAUUUCGUGAAAACAAUAUAACCAGCAGUGUUAUUUUUAAACAGUCGUAUUUGCACAAAAGUAUUAGCACCACAUGCUGUCAAAGAAAAUAUCUUGGAAGGUAAUCAGAGAAAAAUAGAAUUUAAAAGAUAUAAUUAUCUAUCUAUUAAAAUACAUAUCUGUAGGCCCCAAAAUGUAAGUAGAGAGUAGCUAAAGCUGAAGAAAAACAAAACUGAAGCUUUACAGGAAUUAAACAGUCAAUACAUCUAUCUGUCUCUUUAACUCAAUCAAUAUCACAGUCAUUUUUCAUAUAUGUCAUAACUUUCAAACCUUUUUUAGAGACCCCAAAUCUUUGGGUCACUUUCAUUUUGGUAACGUCUAUCAGAUGUGGAGUCUUGAGGGAAAGAUAAGGCAUAGAACUUAUGAGCAUAUCACAUUUAUUAGCUAGUGCACGCAGACGUGAGCUAGGACAAGUAUGUUAUUGGGAAAAGCUAUGGCUUGCCCUUGGACAGAUGAAGAUAUGAGUAAGAUAUAGACUAAGAUACAUUCACAGUACUGGGGUACAGUCACCUGAUGAGUGUCUGUAAGCCAGAUGUCCGUCAGUGAAGUGCAGAAGUAUUACAUUCUGCUGUUCCUUAAAACAACUGAUCCUCAAUAUUGCUGAUUUACUAUCCUCUGAAUCAAUCCUUUUUCUUUCAGAUUCUCUUGCUGGUGUUUUUCUUCUGAAAUAUAAACUAUCAUUAUUAACACAGCAAUCUCGCUUCUUUGUUUCCACCUUUUUAUUAUGCACAAUUUAUAAUCCUAUAUGCUGUCUCACAGAUUAAGAGAAAAAGCUGCUGCUCAGUGCUAGCUGCACCUCCUUCACGCAGCUGAGCCUUCCAAAAGGUGAUCUGAGCCUUCUCUAGGUGAUCCUGAUCGGCAGUUUGGUUGGACUUGAUGAUCUUCUGUGGUCCCUUCCAACCUCGGCCAUUCUGUGAAAAGUGGUGCUAGGUCACAUUGCUGGUUAUGUAAGUCUAAUGACACAUGGAAGUGGAGAAUGUCCAUCUGCAGUUGACCAAGAUGUUAUAUUCCCUCUAACACGUUUGUUACCUGUGGGCUUGGUGUCUGAAAUUUAUAUUUAGAGAUGAAACCUUAUUCCAGCUAUGUACAUUGACCCCAUACUGAUCUCCAUGAGCAGAGGGUCUGUGCUGGUUUUCAGAGAUUAUUGAUAAUCAUGAUAUUGAUAAUUGGUCAUUUUCAGACUUUAUUUAUAGUCUACCGCAGCAAUCACUGCCUGCAGGCAUGACCAAGAUGCUCAUCAGUUGUAAAAUAUUCCUACAUUCAGCUGUCCUUGUUUGCAGAUGUGCUGCACGGCUGUUUAGAGCAAUGACUCAGUAUCUGUCAACUAUCAGGACACCGUUAUUUUACCCACCAAACUCGAAAGAGAGGCAAAAGUUUUAGGUGCUUCAGCAUGAACAGGUGAAUCUGUGGUAGUCUUCCUUACAAAAAUUGCACUCAUGUAGUAAACCAAACUUGUCUUUCCAAGGGGCACUUUGUCAAUGGCAUGAUGACACUAAUCUUCUGCUUAGUUCAAUGUUUUAAAGUUUAAAUUCUUUCCUAAGUACAAAGAUUGAAAGACCUAAAGCUAGAUCUCAUCCUAGAUGUGAACUCCUUAGUGUCGGUGAGGGUUUGUACGUUUUAUGAAGUUUUGAUAAAGUCAGAAAAAGGAAGAGUCUCUGUAGAAUGGUCACAUCAUUGUGAACAUUCUGUUGUUGACUUUUUUGUUCCCCCCUGUUUUUACCAUUAGCACUGGAAUGCCUCAAAAAUGGGAAGGAAAGAUCUGCUAACUGUCAACAACUAUUUAAAGACUCCUUCUGCAUGGAUCAUUUGUACAGCUAUUAGAGCAGGUUUUUCAUUUAACUCCAUAUUGAGAUGACUGCCUAACAUGACUAUUAGCUCAGGAUUUGCUCCCUUAAGUGUUCACUUUGGAUUGCUUAAAAACAAUUUACAAAAAAUAUGACUGUAUUUGAUAGGAAAACCAAAAACAAAACUAAACUAAACUAAAAACUAAUUGGAGAAUCUCAGAAGGGGAAACUAAAAUCACAUGAGAUUUUUCCUUCAGUACUUCUAUAAGAUCCUCAAAUGAAAGUUGGCCCCAAAAGACAAUUUCCUCCUUUGCCAUGGAUGUUUUCCAUCCACGUUCUAGUUUUCCUUAUUAAUGUCCUAAAAUUCCUACUGUGAAGCAUUUGCCCUGUUCUGUCUCCUAGAACUGACAGAAAACUUGCUGUUUUUUUCUUCUUUUUGGCAGGCUCAUUUUCUUUAAAAACCCAACAGGUCACCUAAGGAAUUUUAGUUAUCCCCUGAUAAAAUACUUUUUUUUCUUUUUCCUUCAAACUGCACUUGUUCUUUGGUUCAGAACAGUGACUUAUCUACAUUGCUAUUGACAGUUGUAUUUAUUAGUUUUGUUUUCUUGGCUGUAAGUCAAUUUUGAUGGUUACAGUCAGAAACUUAUCAGUAAUUGAUAUGAUACUACUCUUUUUUUUUUUUUUUUUUUUUGAGCACAGGAGAUGAAAAGUUUUUAGAGAUGUCUUGACACCUCUACACUCUUUUUUCCAGUAUAAAUGUAGACAUAGUUUGCCACCUUGUGGCAAAUGUACUUUUGUAAACUGCAAUAUUGCCAUAAAUUGCCAUAAAAACUGCAUCUAUUGCCAUAAAUCAUAUCUGACUGUAAUUAUUGUCUCUAAUCUAAGUCUAUAGUUGAAGACAAUAGUCUUGAAAACAUUGACUGUCUUGUUUAGAAACCAAAAUACAUGAAAAAUUUAUUUUUCUAAGUAACAUCUCAAUUUAACUGCUAUUUGUAGCCAAGAAAAAACAUUUAAGCAUUGUUCAUGCUAGCCUUGGAAGUAAUAUAAUUGAUGCAGACUGUUGACAGCUAACUUACUAAAAGCAAGAUCUUUCAUGUGUAAAGGUGUAGUCUCAUUAAGGGAUUUUCUUUUUCUUCCCUGGAGACCAGUGUUUAUGGUUAAACUACCACAAAAAACAAGGUAUUACAAGUAGCUGAUGUUUCAGUUUGUCAGUGAAACCACACGUAAACAUUGGAAAAUUGGACUGGGUCAACCAGAAAUAAAAAUAUUGCAGAAUUAUUUUCUGUACUUUAC
Molecule: long non-coding RNA, 4252 nt
Filed under: Anser cygnoides (Swan goose)
Lineage: Eukaryota; Metazoa; Chordata; Aves; Anseriformes; Anatidae
Description: lncRNA (ENSACDG00005019397.1)
Source: RNAcentral